RNAcentral lists this unclassified non-coding RNA (1899 nucleotides) under Hevea brasiliensis (rubber tree). Lineage: Eukaryota; Viridiplantae; Streptophyta; Magnoliopsida; Malpighiales; Euphorbiaceae. The record is from RNAcentral.
GGAGUUCUCAUAUCACACUAAAACUCUCCAAAUUGCCACCCAAAAAAAUUGUUUACAUUAAUCAAAUCUUUUCUUUGUUGCAUAUAUAGAAGAGGGUUUGUCUCCUCAAGUGCAAUAGGAAAUGGAAAUUAUGGCCACGAGCAAGGAGAGGUGGGAGAAAAAUAUUCAUGUUUUAGAUGAGAAAAUCAAAAAGUUUCCUGGUUUUGUAUGGCAAACAACUUGGAGAGUUGGUCGAGAUGAUCCUCGAAGAGUUAUUCAUGCUUUCAAAGUUGGUUUGGCUUUGACAUUAGUCUCUUUGCUGUAUCUGCUGGAGCCAUUGUUUGAAGGGAUUGGACAAAGUGCCAUUUGGGCUGUAAUGACCGUUGUUGUUGUGCUUGAGUUCACAGCAGGUUUGUUUAAUUUCUGAGUUUCUGUCAAUUUUUUCCUUUGAUUGUAAUCGUGAUCAUUCUUUCAAAUGCAGGUGCAACAUUAUGCAAAGGACUUAACAGAGGAUUAGGGACCCUCCUAGCAGGAUCAUUAGCAUUUGCCAUUGAGUUCAUUGCACAGGAAACCGGCCACGUUUUCCGAGCUAUUUUCAUCGGAGCUGCUGUUUUUGUGAUAGGGGCUGCAGCUACCUACAUUAGGUUCUUUCCCAAAGUGAAGAAAAAUUAUGACUAUGGUGUUGUGAUUUUCCUCUUGACCUUUAAUUUGAUAACUGUGUCGAGCUUUCGCGUUAGCAAUGUAUUGAAGAUUGCCCAUGAACGAUUCUACACCAUUGCCAUUGGCUGUGGUGUUUGCCUGUUAAUGAGUCUGCUGAUAUUCCCAAUUUGGUCAGGAGAAGAUCUCCAUAAUUCCACAGUGUCUAAGCUGGAAGGUCUAGCUAAAUCUAUAGAAGGUGUGCAUAUAAAUAUAUAGUCUAGAUUUAUGCUAAUAAUAAGUUUUGAAGUAUGUUUAUUUGUUUAUGUAAUUCCGAUGUGCAAAAUAUAUGUUAUUGUAGCUUGUGUCAAUGAAUAUUUUAGCGAUGAAGAGAAAGAAGCUAUCCAAGAUAAAUCAUCAGAGGAUCCCAUCUACAAAGGUUAUAAGAAUGUCUUGGAUUCAAAAUCACAAGAUGAAACUUUGGCAACACAUGCAAGUUGGGAGCCUAGGCACUCAAGGCACUGCAGGUAUCCUUGGCAGCAGUAUGUGAAAUUAGGAGGUGUUCUUCGCCACUUCAGUUACACUGUUGUAGCUCUUCACGGAUGUCUGCUAACUGAAAUUCAGACCCCUAGGUCUUGCCGUGCCCUCUUCAAAGAUCCAUGCAUUCGAGUAGCAAGUGAAGUAUCCAAAGCACUAAUGGAACUUGCCAACAGCAUAAGAAAUCAUCGCCAUUGCUCUCCUGAGAUCCUCUCCGAUCAUCUUCACGAGGCAUUGCAAGACCUUAACACUGCCAUAAAAUCACAGCCAAGGCUUUUUCUAGGCUCCAACAAUACCCAAGCCAAAAACAUGCUAGCCUUGGCAGCUGCACAUGCUAGACAAAAGCAAGAAAAGGAUCACCAUGGAGUGUCAUUAUCAAGUGUAAAGACGGAUAGUUCUGCAUUGCUUGAAUGGAAAACGAAAAGGGCUAAUAAUGAGCAAUCUCGAGAAGCUGAAAGGAAAGUGUUACGGCCACAAUUGAGCAAAAUUGCAAUCACAAGUCUUGAGUUCUCGGAGGCACUUCCAUUUGCUGCUUUUGCAUCUUUGCUGGUGGAGGCAGUAGCUAGGCUAGAUAAUGUGAUUGAAGAAGUUGAAGAGCUUGGAAGGAUAGCUUGCUUCAAAGAAUUUAAACCUGGUGAUGAGAUUGUUGAGACACCAAAAGUGAAUGUUUCACAGAAUCAUUUGCCUUCUACUGAUGGGGCAGAGUGAUUCUGCAGUCUUUGAUUUAGAUAUGGCUGAUUUAUGGGU